Long non-coding RNA from Pseudophryne corroboree (corroboree frog), 620 nucleotides. RefSeq lists it as uncharacterized. The record is from RefSeq and is a predicted model, not a curated record. The transcript is spliced from 4 exons. NCBI's taxonomy places the organism in Eukaryota, Metazoa, Chordata, Amphibia, Anura, Myobatrachidae.
CGCACCAGUUGGUUGCCUAGCAACCGCCGGGAACUGUGGCCAUGACGUCAUUGGGUUGCGACACGCCCUCCGGGUCCCGCUGGCGGCGCCCCGGCUCCGGCGCAGUCUGGGAGAAGGCGAGGAGGAGAAUACAGGCACUAAGGGGAUAUAAGAUAACUGGAGGCACUUUGCUGCAAUAUACAUUUCCUGAGUUUGUGAAGGCAUUUCCCAAAUGCAAAAAGUCACGUGCAAGUUCUUGAGUGUAUAUCGAGUGUACUACAUAAAUACAAAAGGAAACUUCUAGUGACAUUGCGGAAGUGAUUGCAUCAUGCAGCUAUUAAAUAUGAUCAAUACAAAGUUCUUACAUUAAAAAUGUAGUUUCAUAUAUUUACAAGUUCUAAUUACUGUAUUCUCAUGUUUAGACUUGUUUUAAGCAGCAUAAGAAUAUAUGCAUUGUUUUAUGAAAAUACCAAAUUUCUACGACAUAAAUGUAUGUGAUAAUAUAUAUAGAAUGUUUUCAGACCCAUCAAGAAAUGCAUGCUAGUUAGAUGUUUGUUUAUAGUUUCAUUGGCCCUAAACUCAAUAUUCCCAUGAUACUGAAACACAAAAGGACUUUCUAGAGAGACACUCACAUGGUAUUU